CUAAUUAGUACCGUUCUUCAAUCUGGAGCAAAUUUUCGGAGAAUCACCAAAUUAGACACAUUGCAGUUUCAUCCAACUAUUGACAAAAUAGUAUCUUACCUUGAAGAAUGGACAACCGAAAAACAUUCUAUUAGGGUUAGUUACUGUUCUAGACUUGUAAAGAAUGGCAUAUACGCCAUAGAAGCACUUUGGUGCAAUCCCAUCUCGAUCACAUCCUCUUGGCAUGGCGCAUGAAGAUCCUGCUCCAGGUCUUGUGCAUGAAGAAUCUCCUUCACUCGUCAUGGACGAUCGCACUAUCAACGGUAAUGGGUUCGAAUAGGGCUCAGUGAUGGCAACGACGUCGUUUUGGGGGCAUAAGGACCAAUUUGUCCAUUAACAAUUUAUUCCCCAUCCACAUCAACAGCCAAAACGGAUAGCUCAGUUUCCACCCUUCCAGAUCAGCAUUCUCCGUUGCCGUUUUGAGCCCCAACUUGACGGAGGGGUAUAAUUGUUACGCAUUUUAUAAAGUAAAAAAUUUAAAUGUAUUUUUCAAUCCUGAGGGACGAAAAUGUCGGCUUCUAAAAAUGUCAAAAACCUAUUUGUCUUUUACUCUAAAAUAUUCUAUAUAGUAUUCCCUGCUUUACUAUCACAUUACCUUUUGACAUCUACUUCAUUUAAUAAGAGGUUAAUAUGAAAAUGAGAUUAAAUAAAAGUUAAACACCAAGAAUAUUGUGAUAAUUUCACACUUGUUCUCCUUGAAUAAAAUUCUAAUCUGAUGAUCCAUUGAUCAUUUUUGCAUUCCUCUGUUUAGUUAUGAGUGUAUGACUUGUGCCAUUAUACAUGUACAAACUUUUGUGCAAAACAAUUAAAAUCAACCACAAUAUAGUUAGUUAACUAUUUAAAUUAGCUCUGUGGAAGCUCAAUUUAUGCGUAACUCCUAUAAAAAUAAUGAUAACUUCCAUUACUCUAUUCAUCACAGCAAGGGGGAAGAGUAGAAGAUGAACAAGAGAAAGAAAACCACACAUGGAAUUCAGUUCAACCAUGCUCAUAAGUACAGCCACUACAAGCUCUACAUGCCACAUUCAACUGUCACUAAAACAGAGAUCAUAACUCAGACAAAGAUAUACAUUGACAGAU
Non-coding RNA from Arachis ipaensis, 1116 nucleotides. The record is from RefSeq and is a predicted model, not a curated record. Lineage: Eukaryota; Viridiplantae; Streptophyta; Magnoliopsida; Fabales; Fabaceae.